This 467-nucleotide ribosomal RNA is filed under the name uncultured bacterium. Its description in RNAcentral is "partial 16S ribosomal RNA". It matches the Rfam family "Bacterial small subunit ribosomal RNA", at positions 28 to 507 of the family's 1533-position model. The record is from RNAcentral.
GACGAACGCUGGCGGCGUGCUUAACACAUGCAAGUCGAACGGAAAGGCCUCUUUCGGGGGGUACUCGAGUGGCGAACGGGUGAGUAACACGUGAGUAACUAGCCCUUGACUUUGGGUUAACUUCAGUAAAGUGGGGCUAAUACCGGAUAGUAGCUCCUGCGGCAUGGUGGGGGCUGGAAAGGUUCGGCGGUUGGGGGUGGCUUCGUGGCGUAUCGGCUUGUUUGUGGGGUAGUGGGUUACCGAGGCCUUUGCGUGUCGGCGGCCUGAGGGAGUGACCGGCCACAUUGGGACUUACGGGCGGCCCAAGCUCCGACGGGAGGCAGCUGGGGGGAAGAUUGCACAAUGGGUGGAAGCCGGAUGCAGCAACGCCGUGUACGGGAAGACGGCCUUCGGGUUGUAGACCGCUUUCGCUCAUGACGAAGCUUUGUGUGACGGUAGUGGGUAAAGAAGCACCGGCUAACUACGUG